RNAcentral lists this ribosomal RNA (1343 nucleotides) under uncultured bacterium. RNAcentral describes it as "16S ribosomal RNA". It matches the Rfam family "Bacterial small subunit ribosomal RNA", at positions 28 to 1378 of the family's 1533-position model. The record is from RNAcentral.
GACGAACGCUGGCGGCGUGCCUAACACAUGCAAGUCGAACGGAAAGGCCCUGCUUUUGUGGGGUGCUCGAGUGGCGAACGGGUGAGUAACACGUGAGUAACCUGCCCUUGACUUUGGGAUAACUUCAGGAAACUGGGGCUAAUACCGGAUAGGAGCUCCUGCUGCAUGGUGGGGGUUGGAAAGUUUCGGCGGUUGGGGAUGGACUCGCGGCUUAUCAGCUUGUUGGUGGGGUAGUGGCUUACCAAGGCUUUGACGGGUAGCCGGCCUGAGAGGGUGACCGGCCACAUUGGGACUGAGAUACGGCCCAGACUCCUACGGGAGGCAGCAGUGGGGAAUAUUGCACAAUGGGCGGAAGCCUGAUGCAGCAACGCCGCGUGCGGGAUGACGGCCUUCGGGUUGUAAACCGCUUUCGCCUGUGACGAAGCGUGAGUGACGGUAAUGGGUAAAGAAGCACCGGCUAACUACGUGCCAGCAGCCGCGGUGAUACGUAGGGUGCGAGCGUUGUCCGGAUUUAUUGGGCGUAAAGGGCUCGUAGGUGGUUGAUCGCGUCGGAAGUGUAAUCUUGGGGCUUAACCCUGAGCGUGCUUUCGAUACGGGUUGACUUGAGGAAGGUAGGGGAGAAUGGAAUUCCUGGUGGAGCGGUGGAAUGCGCAGAUAUCAGGAGGAACACCAGUGGCGAAGGCGGUUCUCUGGGCCUUUCCUGACGCUGAGGAGCGAAAGCGUGGGGAGCGAACAGGCUUAGAUACCCUGGUAGUCCACGCUGUAAACGGUGGGUACUAGGUGUGGGGUCCAUUCCACGGGUUCCGUGCCGUAGCUAACGCUUUAAGUACCCCGCCUGGGGAGUACGGCCGCAAGGCUAAAACUCAAAGGAAUUGACGGGGCCCCGCACAAGCGGCGGAGCAUGCGGAUUAAUUCGAUGCAACGCGUAGAACCUUACCUGGGUUUGACAUGGAUCGGGAGUGCUCAGAGAUGGGUGUGCCUCUUUUGGGGUCGGUUCACAGGUGGUGCAUGGCUGUCGUCAGCUCGUGUCGUGAGAUGUUGGGUUAAGUCCCGCAACGAGCGCAACCCUUGUUCACUGUUGCCAGCACGUUAUGGUGGGGACUCAGUGGGGACCGCCGGGGUCAACUCGGAGGAAGGUGGGGAUGACGUCAAGUCAUCAUGCCCCUUAUGUCCAGGGCUUCACGCAUGCUACAAUGGCUGGUACAGAGAGUGGCGAGCCUGUGAGGGUGAGCGAAUCUCGGAAAGCCGGUCUCAGUUCGGAUUGGGGUCUGCAACUCGACCUCAUGAAGUCGGAGUCGCUAGUAAUCGCAGAUCAGCAACGCUGCGGUGAAUACGUUCCCGGG